GAUGAACGCUGGCGGCGUGCCUAAUACAUGCAAGUCGAGCGAACAGACGAGGAGCUUGCUCCUCUGACGUUAGCGGCGGACGGGUGAGUAACACGUGGAUAACCUACCUAUAAGACUGGGAUAACUUCGGGAAACCGGAGCUAAUACCGGAUAACAUGUUGAACCGCAUGGUUCAACAGUGAAAGACGGUCUUGCUGUCACUUAUAGAUGGAUCCGCGCCGCAUUAGUUAGUUGGUAAGGUAACGGCUUACCAAGGCAACGAUGCGUAGCCGACCUGAGAGGGUGAUCGGCCACACUGGAACUGAGACACGGUCCAGACUCCUACGGGAGGCAGCAGUAGGGAAUCUUCCGCAAUGGGCGAAAGCCUGACGGAGCAACGCCGCGUGAGUGAAGAAGGUCUUCGGAUCGUAAAACUCUGUUAUUAGGGAAGAACAAAUGUGUAAGUAACUAUGCACGUCUUGACGGUACCUAAUCAGAAAGCCACGGCUAACUACGUG
RNAcentral lists this ribosomal RNA (497 nucleotides) under uncultured bacterium. RNAcentral's name for it is "partial 16S ribosomal RNA". It matches the Rfam family "Bacterial small subunit ribosomal RNA", at positions 28 to 507 of the family's 1533-position model. The record is from RNAcentral.